Molecule: transfer RNA, 74 nt
Filed under: Prevotella sp. P4-119
Lineage: Bacteria; Pseudomonadati; Bacteroidota; Bacteroidia; Bacteroidales; Prevotellaceae
Description: tRNA-Gln
Rfam family: tRNA
About the family: Transfer RNA (tRNA) molecules are approximately 80 nucleotides in length. Their secondary structure includes four short double-helical elements and three loops (D, anti-codon, and T loops). Further hydrogen bonds mediate the characteristic L-shaped molecular structure. tRNAs have two regions of fundamental functional importance: the anti-codon, which is responsible for specific mRNA codon recognition, and the 3' end, to which the tRNAs corresponding amino acid is attached (by aminoacyl-tRNA synthetases). tRNAs cope with the degeneracy of the genetic code in two manners: having more than one tRNA (with a specific anti-codon) for a particular amino acid; and 'wobble' base-pairing, i.e. permitting non-standard base-pairing at the 3rd anti-codon position.
Source: RNAcentral
AGCCCUAUGGUAUAACGGCAGCACAGCAGGUUUUGGCUCUGCUAGUGAAGGUUCGACUCCUUCUGGGGCAACUA